Ciona intestinalis (vase tunicate) is the source of this 400-nucleotide non-coding RNA. NCBI's taxonomy places the organism in Eukaryota, Metazoa, Chordata, Ascidiacea, Phlebobranchia, Cionidae. The record is from RefSeq and is a predicted model, not a curated record.
UUUCUGAAGUACCAAAGAGAAAAACAGGAUGUAAGAUAAACUGGCUAUCUCUUUAAAGAAAAUCUUUCAGGAGGUAUUAAUUCUCGAAGAAGAGAAAUUUCCUCAAAUAAUGCGAAGAAUUUGAGCAUGAAAGUAUCAGUUUUCUGCAGUACCAAAAUGAAUAAGUCAGCGCUUUUUGUAAUGCUUUUUAUUGGACUCCUUGUCCUAACCAAAAAUACGAAUGCUGCGUUGGGCCGUGGUCGUUUUUUGAUUUGCCGUCGAAGAUGGGAAGAGUAUAACCAAAUAAAACAGGCUAAAGACACUGACUUUAACCUUGAAGAGGUAGACGAGAUCUUCUUAGAGUAAUCACUACAAUUCACUAAAACUCAAAAAUCGGAGAUUUAAUAAACUAAAUACCGUC